This 301-nucleotide ribosomal RNA is filed under the name uncultured bacterium. RNAcentral describes it as "partial 16S ribosomal RNA". It matches the Rfam family "Bacterial small subunit ribosomal RNA", at positions 509 to 807 of the family's 1533-position model. The record is from RNAcentral.
CAGUCGCCGCGGUAAUACGUAGGGUGCGAGCGUUAAUCGGAAUUACUGGGCGUAAAGCGUGCGCAGGCGGUUCGUUAAGACAGAUGUGAAAUCCCCGGGCUUAACCUGGGAACUGCAUUUGUGACUGGCGAGCUAGAGUAUGGCAGAGGGGGGUAGAAUUCCACGUGUAGCAGUGAAAUGCGUAGAGAUGUGGAGGAAUACCGAUGGCGAAGGCAGCCCCCUGGGCCAAUACUGACGCUCAUGCACGAAAGCGUGGGGAGCAAACAGGAUUAGAGACCCGGGUAGUCCCUGUCUCUUAUAC